GCCUGGGUGGCUCAGUCGGUUGAGCAUCUGAUUUCGGCUCAGGUCAUGAUCUCACAGCUCGUGAGUUUGAGCCCCGCGUCGGGCU
RNAcentral lists this transfer RNA (85 nucleotides) under Felis catus (domestic cat). It matches the Rfam family "tRNA". Rfam says of the family: Transfer RNA (tRNA) molecules are approximately 80 nucleotides in length. Their secondary structure includes four short double-helical elements and three loops (D, anti-codon, and T loops). Lineage: Eukaryota; Metazoa; Chordata; Mammalia; Carnivora; Felidae. The record is from Rfam by way of RNAcentral.